GGUGGAGGUCUUUGUGUGCCGUGGUUUUUAACUUUUUUUUUUUUUUUAAGGGGGUUUCCUCUUAAGCAGCCUGCCUAUAACCGCGGCUGGCUUCUAUCAUAAAAAUCUGCCUGCCUCUGUUGUGAACUACUCCCUGCACUGUCUUAUGAAAUGUCUGUCUCUAGUGGUUUAAAAGACCCCCGUGGAUAUAGCCAUCGUAGAUGUGGACUCUUAUAAUCUGUUCUGUAGUCUUAGCGGGGAGACCAUGUUAGGGCGUUCAAGACCUAGAGAUGGCAGGAUUUUGUGAAGGACAAAAUGGUGGCGGCAGCGCAAGGCCAUCCCCAGUGAUGAGGACCUUAUCACAGACCUGUACUGAUUUCUGUGAGGAUAAGUAACUCUGAGAAGGCUGGCGCUGGGCCUACAGUUUUCUGAUCCUGCAGAGAGAUUUCUUGAUGUAGAAAUAACCCAAGUUUUUCCUGCAGGUUUGACGUGCUUGUUUACGUACGAAAGAAUGGGAGUAUGCUCUCUUUACAGAAUACGGUUAACCUCGAAGGGGUUUGCACAUUGGAACCAGGCCUGUUCACUUUUACAGAUAGCACGCUUUGCUUCUAGUCAGGGUACUGUGACAACAUGAGUUUUCACGCUGCCUCCGAACGUGAUUGCAGGUUUUCCUGAGGUGAUUUCUUUAGAGGAGGAGUUCCUGUAUACCACGAAUCUCCAGCAUCAAAAGGUUCUGUUAGCAGUGUCAAACUUACUGAUUCAGAGGUGACACUGGCUAAGAGCAAAGGAGACAUGCCAGGAAUGUUAAAAGCAUUUUUUAAUUCAAGUCCACACUAAAGUGAGGUAUGGAGAAAAGAAUGAGCUGUACAUGAAAGGAGCUGAACAUCAAAUCUGAUGGGAGGAGCAGUCAGCGCUCCCCACCACUGAGCCAUCUCCAGCCCAGGAUGGUUAAUCUUUUCAAGCAUUAUUGCUGAAGCAGACUAAUAUGCUUCGCUUCACCAUAAUAGGUCACUUUUAAGAUAAAAAUUCUUUGCAAUUCCAGAUUGACCUUCAUUGCUGACCCUUUAACUGUAGCUGUGUUCUUUUGGUUCCUUGCAAUAAAUGCUCUAUGCUAUAGUGUAA
Grammomys surdaster is the source of this 1101-nucleotide long non-coding RNA. RefSeq lists it as uncharacterized. The record is from RefSeq and is a predicted model, not a curated record. NCBI's taxonomy places the organism in Eukaryota, Metazoa, Chordata, Mammalia, Rodentia, Muridae. The transcript has 10 exons.